UACGGGGGGGGCAAGCGUUGUUCGGAAUUACUGGGCGUAAAGGGUUCGUAGGUGGCUUGCUAAGUCAGACGUGAAAUCCCUCAGCUUAACUGGGGAACUGCGUCUGAUACUGGCGAGCUUGAGUGCAGGAGAGGAACGCGGAAUUCCAGGUGUAGCGGUGAAAUGCGUAGAUAUCUGGAGGAACACCGGUGGCGAAGGCGGCAUUCUGGACCGACAUUGACGCUGAGGAGCGAAAGCCAGGGGAGCAAACGGG
RNAcentral lists this ribosomal RNA (253 nucleotides) under uncultured bacterium. RNAcentral describes it as "partial 16S ribosomal RNA". It matches the Rfam family "Bacterial small subunit ribosomal RNA", at positions 524 to 776 of the family's 1533-position model. The record is from RNAcentral.